RNAcentral lists this ribosomal RNA (707 nucleotides) under Mycobacterium sp. L1782. RNAcentral describes it as "bacterial SSU rRNA". It matches the Rfam family "Bacterial small subunit ribosomal RNA", at positions 24 to 744 of the family's 1533-position model. Lineage: Bacteria; Bacillati; Actinomycetota; Actinomycetes; Mycobacteriales; Mycobacteriaceae. The record is from RNAcentral.
UCAGGACGAACGCUGGCGGCGUGCUUAACACAUGCAAGUCGAACGGUAAGGCCCUUUCGGGGGUACACGAGUGGCGAACGGGUGAGUAACACGUGGGUGAUCUGCCCUGCACUUUGGGAUAAGCCUGGGAAACUGGGUCUAAUACCGAAUACACCCUGCUGGUCGCAUGGCCUGGUGGGGGAAAGCUUUUGCGGUGUGGGAUGGGCCCGCGGCCUAUCAGCUUGUUGGUGGGGUGAUGGCCUACCAAGGCGACGACGGGUAGCCGGCCUGAGAGGGUGUCCGGCCACACUGGGACUGAGAUACGGCCCAGACUCCUACGGGAGGCAGCAGUGGGGAAUAUUGCACAAUGGGCGCAAGCCUGAUGCAGCGACGCCGCGUGAGGGAUGACGGCCUUCGGGUUGUAAACCUCUUUCAGCAGGGACGAAGCGCAAGUGACGGUACCUGUAGAAGAAGCACCGGCCAACUACGUGCCAGCAGCCGCGGUAAUACGUAGGGUGCGAGCGUUGUCCGGAAUUACUGGGCGUAAAGAGCUCGUAGGUGGUUUGUCGCGUUGUCCGUGAAAACUCACAACUCAAUUGUGGGCGUGCGGGCGAUACGGGCAGACUGGAGUACUGCAGGGGAGACUGGAAUUCCUGGUGUAGCGGUGGAAUGCGCAGAUAUCAGGAGGAACACCGGUGGCGAAGGCGGGUCUCUGGGCAGUAACUGAC